ACCUACUCAUACUGUAUCUACCUUUUUUAGAAUUUUCGUCUGUCUGUCUCUCUGUCGGUUUGUACCUUUAUAACUAAUCAACCACUUAUCUGAUUGAGAUGAAAUUUUUUAUACAUAUACAAGAUGCUGUCACUUAAAAUAUAGGCUACUUUUUAAAUCAAUUAUAAAUCAGAAUUCGGAUUAGAUUUUGUUUCAUUUAUCAAUUGUUUCUGUCAAUUGAAUCGUCUAUCACAUUUCAUUAAGCAGUCAAAAUAAGAGUGUCUAAUCUGACUUAUUUGUAACUAAGAUUAAAAAGACAAAAUUACGUAUCUUACGCAAUAUGUAAAAUAAAUGAAGAUCAUAACCUAUAAAUAAUCAUUUAUAUUAUUUAUAAACAAUUUUUGUGCAUUAACUUAUAUAAAAAAUUGGAUUCAAAAGAUAAAGAUAAGUACUUGAUUUCACUUAGUUAUCUAUAGUAAUUUUUAUUUUUGUAUGCUAAGGUAACCAAGAUUGACCAAUUCAAUAUAACUUAUCGUAAUUAAUAAUUUUAUAUUUUAGAUAUGUAUCGUUAUUAUUCGUUAUAUUUUCAUUAAAAAUGCCUAAAAAACGAAAAUCAAAUUUGAGUUCAUCAUCAGCCAAAGCAAGAAGCAACAAACUUCUUCGCCUAUCUGAAACUCAAUGUGAACGAGACGAGAGACUGAAAAUUCAGAAAGAAAGGAAAAGUAAUUUACGAGCUAAUGAAACACCAGAACAAUCUGAA
Molecule: long non-coding RNA, 739 nt
Organism: Microplitis demolitor
Lineage: Eukaryota; Metazoa; Arthropoda; Insecta; Hymenoptera; Braconidae
Exons: 3
Source: RefSeq, a predicted model, not a curated record